Long non-coding RNA from Lathyrus oleraceus (garden pea), 1366 nucleotides. RefSeq lists it as uncharacterized. The record is from RefSeq and is a predicted model, not a curated record. Lineage: Eukaryota; Viridiplantae; Streptophyta; Magnoliopsida; Fabales; Fabaceae. The transcript is spliced from 4 exons.
CGAGCUUCAGAUAGGAAAGAAUGGAUCUCCGAUCUUCUUAUCCACCUGCGUACUAGCCUGGAUCGAAAAUGAGCUGGAGUUUCUCCGAAGGAAUUCAUCGCAUUGUGCGGCCAAGAAGACUCCGACGAAGCUCGCACAAGUCCGUUGCAUGUUCAGAUCCGUAUAACGCUCCUUGUCUCCUCUAGAUUCCACGUCUUACCUCACGAAUUCAUGAACUCUCCAAUGAAGAACCAAGAACAACAAUCGGAUUCGCGGAUACUCUCAACAUUGAAUCGACAUCGAGACCGAGACUGAAUUAACUUCGUUUCUUUUUCUUGUGCGCGAAUUGAAAGAAAUUGAAGAGAGAGUGGUUACCUACCGGAAUCGAUGUGUUGACGGUGCGGUUGGUCGUUCGUUCUGUGAGUUCCUGCAGAAUCGGCUAAACCGAGAGCGAAGAGGGAGAGCGUACUCGUGGCGCAAUGGAGCUUCGAAGAUGGAAAGCGGAAUCGAAGCUGUGGAUUCACCGGUUCAGAUGAUUGAAGAUUGAUAUUGGAUUGAAGGUGAUGAAGUGGAUUGAAGGUUGGUGUGGUGAAGGUUUCGGUUGAAAAAUUGAGAGUUUGUGAUGAAGUUUGGAAGAAGAAGAUUGAAACAGAAUUGUUGCAGAGAUUUGGAGAGUGAAGAAUGAAGAAGAGGAAAAUAGAAUGAAGACGUGGAAGAGGAUUGAAGAUAGAGAUGGAAGAACCUUGAAGAAUCACCAUGAGAUUCUGAAAUCUUCAACUGCCGCAGAGUUAUGCUUUUAGCAAUGUCGUGUCGGUGACAGAAGAAAGCCUUGAGAGGCAAUGUCUACCAUGGCCAACAACUCCAUAAGGCCUUCUAAUUGUCAACCGCCAUAGUUAAACUGGUGGGCUAUGUUGGUUCAGUGUACAUGUUGUCGUAACUGCCGUAGUCACAAUUCUAGCUGCGUCGUUGGGAGCUCAGUUAUCAUGUUGCCAAUUUGAACCAUUGAGACCGCAAGAGCUGACGGCCUGGUACCGGAAACCAGAGGAGUACCUGGAGUUAUUGAGAUGGUCGGCAUUCCGGAUAAAGAGCUUUCAGUUUAUCUUGUAGCAGCUUGCGGUUCUCUCGGUGGCACUGGCAGCUUAUGCCUUUUUUCAAUUCAUUGGCUUAUGUAAACCACUGUUUGGAUAAUAUAUUAAGGAUUGCAUUAUGUAACGGUUGGGAUGGCACUGACUUAAUUCCUAUGGUACUGUUUCAGUGUAAUUUUGAAAAAUUAGGAUAGAAUAGAAUGAAUAUGCAAUGGUAUUGUCAUUAGUAAGAAUGGUUAUUUGAAUUUGCUUGUAGAAUUUUGAUAAUGGUUUUGGAAUGUAUAAUAUGGCAAUGUUUGGAA